AACUUGAUGGGGCUUGCCAACUGAUACUGUUUAUCAUCAAAAAUUAUAAUGUAAGCGUCUCACUUCAUGCAUGAAUGAUUACAGCUUAUGUGAUUUGAUUGGAAAAUAACUACAUGGAAAAUGAUUUGGUGGCAUAGUGCAGCAUUGUCAAAAAAUAAUGGUGAACUGUAAAUUCAUUGAUUAAUGAGAAAAUGGGACAGUCUUAGGUUCUCCAUAAUAAUUUCAGUAGUGAUUUUCCUUGAUACAUGUAAAAUGUUUGCUUUCACAUUACACAUAUUUCACAUUUUUGUGUUUGUCAAGAAUUCACAUGGGUACCACCUUAAUGCUAGUUUAUGAUUUUACAGUAUAUAACUAUAUCUUACAACAGAAAAUGUAGACAAAAUAUUUUCCAUAUGAGUUUCAUCAAAAUUGAAACUUUUCAAUAACAAAUUAGUUUUGUACUAAUAAAAUUGAGAAUGGAAAUUGGGAAUAUGUCAGAGACAACAACCCGACCAUAGAAAAAACAAGACUAGUUAGAUUUGGGACCAUCACAGAAUAGACCACUCUGAUACUUGUGUCUGUUCUGGUUUUCUCCCUCCUUUUUUUUUUUUUUGAAAUUUUCACUUGUACCUGUAUAGAGAAUUACACAUUUUUCUCUACUUUUAAAUUUAUAUAUAGAAGUUAAAUAUGUGCAAGACAAAAUCUCAAAAAAGAAAAUUCACACUCAAUCUUGUGGAAUAAUUCUCUUUAUCAUGUAUGAAAGUUGCAUUUAUUUAUCAGGUAUUACGAUCAACUGCUGCAGAUUCACAAAUAUAAAUACACAGCUUAACACAACAGGGAGAUAACUCUAUAAAAUUUACCAGAAUUAGUUUUAAAUGUGGAAAGCAGUUGAAGUUGGAUGAAAACUUCAAUCAAUUAUAAUGGUUAAAAGUUGGCCAAUGAAAAUUCUGGUCAUUAAUUCAAAGUAUAGAUUUAAAGCAAAACUUUGAAGUUUGAUGUCUAUAACAGGAAGUUUAAUGACCGUGUGAGAAGACACAGGGUUGGGAGAGAAGUAAUGAGAGUGGUGUUGGGGAAACCUUUACUCUAACAAUAGACUAUGGUGAUCCCUUUGGGUUUUAUGAAAAAAAAAGAGAUUUUAACCUCAUAAACAACCUUGAUGAAUAUAAUAAUGGCACGUAAUAUAUCUAAACUAGGUUUUAUAUCAAAUUAUAUAUCUGACCAAUCUCUGGGAUUUUGUGAACACAUUGAUGUAUUUCUAGCUUUGCCA
This 1246-nucleotide long non-coding RNA is filed under the name Mytilus galloprovincialis (Mediterranean mussel). The record is from RNAcentral. Lineage: Eukaryota; Metazoa; Mollusca; Bivalvia; Mytilida; Mytilidae.